AGGCCCACAGUCGACGGCCUCCUCCACCUCCGCGCGCCGUGUCGUCUCAGCCCCACCCCCGCGCAAUGGGUAAUUUCCUCGCCUGCCUCCGCCUGUGCCUGCAAGUCGUCAACUGCCUCCGCCUGCGCGCGGCGGGCGGCAUGGGAGCAGAGAGUAUCCCACCUUCGCCAACGUCUCCGGGGCCCACACCCUCCUUUUCCUCGCUGACUCCACGCCCCCGCCGGCCCCGCCUUCGCCUCCUCCCGCUCACGGAGAUGAGUUCUACUGCUGCUCUGGCUCCUCGUCCUCCUACUCGGCCGCGUCGACCAGGUCGUGCGUCUCCGAAUCGGCGCAGCACGGCCGCCCCGUCGACCCUCUCUGCGUGCUCUCCGUUCAUCCGUUGUCGCUCCCCUCCACCUCAUCGAACCUAAGGUGCUCUGCUCGCCGAGGCCACAAGCGCGUUGUUCCAUACCAAGGCAGAGAAAAGACGGAAGGGCGUGUGGAUCGAGAUCAACAACGACGGCGACGACAACCAGAGCGCGAGGAGCAGCACCGUCUCCACCGCCCCACCCCGCACGCCGCCAUUGCCAGGGCUCCCCCACCCCACCCCCGCACGCCAUGACCUCCACAACCCCACCCCCGCGCGCCAUCUCGCCAGGGCUCCCCCACCCCCGCGCGCCGUCUCUCCUGCACCAGCUCUCCCUGCAAUCCCUCCAGCUCUCCCUGUCGUGUCGCCUCCACAGCGCCCACCGAGGUCCCGCUAGUGUGGCCCCCGACCUCGUCGCUCAGUGCUGGCGCGAGAUCGAGGCCAUCGGCCCCACCACACCUCGAUUCGCCAACACCGCCGACCCGGGCGCCUCGCCCUCUGCCUUCGACUCCAACACCGGCUCGUCGCUCGGCCACAUCGGGUGCCUAUGCUCGAUGUAUCGCGCUGCCUCUCUGUCCUCAUUCGUUGCGUCCGUCCUCGGCUUCCUCUUCCGCCUUCCCCGCGAUGCCUCCCCGCGUCAUCGCCCACCAGCAUCAUCGCGCAGGCCUCGCUUGAGACAGACAUGGCAGUGGAUUGGGUGUUUGGUUCUCUUUGCAGGCGAGUCAUCGUCGUUGCCUCCCCUUUGUCCUCUCCCAGCGCCAGAGAUUAGUCGCCUCUUUUUCUUGUGUAACUGAAAAUUUGGGGUAGAAGAGGCGCGUUUAGUUUUCUCAGACAGUAUGACAGUGGAUUGGGUGUUUGGCUUCUCUUUGCAGUAGCAAUUGGAGGCGAACAGGAAGACACUGUAGAGGCACUCUCGCGCGCUGUUCAACGUAGUGGCAGCAGAGGUGGCAUCAAGGGGCACCGAUGGCGGCAACAUGCUAUCGCAGCGUGUGGCGGAGAGACAGAGGUCAGACCUGGCAAACAGGACAGGGAAGGGGACGUGAUCUCCAUGCAAGAGAACAUGUCUGCCAGGACACUCACGCUCUCUAGCUCCACGCAGCAGACAAUUGUGCGGUUCGUUAAGCUACCAUUGGUUGACAAGAUCACCGCUUGGAUCUUCCUGGAAAAGUUAUUGGUAUUCUUGUGUUCAUAUGUCUUGCAAUCGGCUGACCAUGGGCACUAUUUUGUGAUAUUCAUGGCCAUUCUAAGGAGAUUGAACUUUAUGCAUCAUGGGUCGUGCAAGUACACUUGAGUUUAUUUGCUUGAUUUAUUCGGCGAGUACUCAUAUGCAGGCACCGUUGUAGAUAUAACGUCAUAGAAUACCUAUUGCAUCCUUUUUAUCCUUUUGAUAUUUUACUAUCUUUUAAAUAACACAACGUCGAAACCAAAGAAUGGUCGACGAUUAGUUGGUUGUUGUUAGAAGGAUAUACUAUGAUAUAGUUGGAAACGAGGCUCUGAUAGACUGAUACACAGUGAUAUUGAUGAAGAAAUUCUAGAUCCAGAGGAAUAGAAACACUUUUUCACAAAGGGAGAAGAUCAUUUGGUAUGGUAGUAUCCUCAUUGAAAAUAAUAUGAAAAAAUAAAAAAAUAAAUAGAUUAUUCAUUGAGGCAAACCUAUGAUCAAUCAUACAUCAGAGGUUGGUCUUCUCCUUUGUAGCGCUACAGUGCGACGACGGCCAGGGCCAAGGUGCUGAAGGAGGUGAGGAACAUCGCAGUAACGAUCUCCAUGGAGAAGGGUGCGAUGGCCAGAGGUAGUGGGCAUCACCAGCACGGUGGCCACAAGCACGAUGGCUAGCAGCAACAGCAACUGCUGCUUCAACGACAAGCGUGCACGAGCUCUAAGCAGACUCAAGCGAUCCUAUCAAGUAGUUCAUUGUAUUUCACCAUUCAUUUUUCUUUUUUACGUCCAUGUGAGAUGAGGUUGUUUGUUCGGCGAGUGGAGCGGUGGGAAAGCCACAGAGGUAUACGAGAUUUAUGUUAAUCCCCCACCCCCAAAGAGUCUUCCCUAUCCAUUUCACUGAAAUUUGGCGACGCUUAGAUAUCGUGUCAUCAUAUUGGGACGCUUUUAUUGCACACAACGUGUGAUCUUAUUUCUCUUGGCUCUGUGGCUGUGGAUUUCGUUUCUGCUUUUGGGUAAAUCAGAGAUAUGUGUGGGCACAUGAAUGAGUUACAUUAUUAUUCACCUGAUUCCACUUUAGCUGAAAACAUUUUACUAUGUACAGGUAAAAAGGAAAACUUGAUGCUGCCAGGAUCGUCCAUCAAGAAGGUACCAUGGUGGGGUGGUGGAGGUGAUAUGUCGUUGGAUUAAAGGAGUUAUCUAGACUUGCAGCAGUAAGUAUUCAGGAGCAGGGCUUGACACACGAACAUUUGAUAUACAACCUUGUUGGUGGCUGUUCUCAAGAUGUCUUCAAGCUCGAAUAUAAUGUUGCAUUGUGCACCAGUAUACAAUCACCAGAUCAAGAUGCUCAUCCAAUUUGACUAAGACGAGUGGAAGUGGGGGACCAUGUCAAGAAAGGGCGUGUGCAUGAGACCAUUGUGCAGCCUAUUAAGGUGCUUCAGUUUCUUCUACAUCUUGUGACCAAUCAUCCAUCAUCAGUUGUGCAGCAUGCUACUCUGCUAAACUUCGGCUAACCUUAAUUUUGAGAGCGCAUACAGAGCAAAAAUGCAGGUUUUUCGCUUGGACAUUGCUAGACCAAAAGAUUUUAACAGCUAACAACUUGAUUAAAAGGGGAUGGCCAAACGAUCUCAGAAGCUGGCAGGGAGGUGAAAGAGAUUGAGGAGCUAGAGGAGAAGGCGUCAUUUUUCAGAAGCUGGCACGUCUCAUGGAGGUGAAACAUGAUUUCAUGGACUUCUUGCAGGGGCUGAGCAAGGAAGAGAUGGAGUUGUUGGAUCAACUGAACAUGGAAGCGACUGAGGAGGAUGUUGCAACAUUCAUCUAGGUAAGAGUUUGUUAGGGCCUUAGUUUGUAUGGAGUUUUUUCUGUAUUACAUGCUAUAUUGUUGUAUUGAUUCUACAUGUUGCAACACACAUCCCCUCAUGGUUUAGUGAAGUUCCAUGCAAGUUCUAUCUUGAGCACUCAAAAUUAUGACAUAUCUAUCUAUUUUGUAUGAUCUUUAUUGCGGUUCAAACAAGAUGAGUAUUAAAAUCGAUGCUUCUCAAAUAUUUUCUUCUAGAGAAAAUUAAAUUACAGUUGUAAGUGGUAUCAAUGGAUGGAAUACAAACUAAAGCUUUAGACAUUUUGAAAGCAAAUAGCACUUGAUGGUUCUGCAUACCAGUCAUCCAUAUAUAUAACCUAGGCAAGCUGGAAAGUGAAAUUAAACUGUAUGACAUAUGCUCAACUAUCUAUAGGCAAAGAUACAUAUAAAGAGUGUCGGCACUCAGUAGUCUUACGUUACAUGUAUUCUUGCCUUAUGAGCAUAAACAUCGGGAAAUAGUUAAAACUUACUGCUACACCAAUUACUCAUACCAGCAAACGAAAAGAAAAUAAUAAGCAGGAGCAAAAUAGAGAACACUACACUUGUUGCUCCUCACCAAAAGGGGAAAUAGCACCUUUGCUUGUUUGGCAUACAUGAGCUAUAUGAGGGUGGCGAUCAGAUUUGCUUAUGGUUGUUGGCCUACUAGGAUGGUUGUAUGGCCAGUCACUGACUGGAAAGCUGCAACGGACUCAAGCUUCUCCCAGGUAAUUUUAUGCUUCGCUUCUAGCGACACGUGUUUUUCUUCUUUGUCCUUGUACUUGGCCAGGCAUGACGAGAAGAGAUCAUCGUCCAUCUUAGACAACAUUUUCUUGACAUUUACCGUCAGAUUCAGGACUUUUGUACAGAAUUAAAAUGAUACUGCACAGUACUGAUUAUGGAACCUAUAUGUAUGCUAAUUGAAAAAAGAUACUUUCCUACUGUGGUUCACACUUUUUUUUGUCUUGCUUGAGUUUUAUUGGAUGGAUACAUAGAGUAAAGAAAUGGAUAGUAUUUUGUGAAUUUUAAUUGACAUACAUAUAGGUUCCAUAAAGACAGGUGAUUUUAGCUUGAAGAAAUAUUAUUGUUGGAUUGUGAGCCGCAUAUCUGACUUUAGAAGAGGAAACCAUUAUUCUUAGAAGUUAGUCUGUUCUUGAUCAGAGAUUACAAAAAAAUAUGCUUGUGUUGACAGCAACUCCUCUAGGCCCAAGAAAAAAAUGGGUGAACCACCAUAAUUCCUGACAUACGUGAGUACACUUUCUUUACUGAGAAGGUUCCAUUACCCCUAAUGUAGGUCCAAGCAUCAUUAUUUUACUGUUCAAUGUAGAGAACUUAUUCUGCCAUUAAGCUCCUGGUAUGUUUUAGAGUGGAAGAAAUCAAUUGUUAUGAAUGUUAAAUCGUUCCAUAACCAUUUUGAUAGUAAUGCUUCUUCUUUUUGUGAUUUAGUUCUUACAGGUGAUUGUAUUUGUAGCCUACAUUUUGUUUUGGGGUCUAUAGUGGUUUAUACCAGUACCUUUUCAUGUGCUCAGGAAUGAUCUUGUGGGAAUAAAGCUUCUCACAGGUUUUAAUGCAUGACUCAUCACGUUGUGUUGAAUGACGGGAGUGUUGAAUGACAGUAAUGUCACCUGUAAGAACACUUACUAGGAGGCAAGAAAGGUGGCAAGGGAUAAAUUGAAGAAGAAAGUCGCUACAUACAAAAUGGGACUUGUUGACAAACUCAAAGCUAAGCUCCAUGGCUAGGGACAUGUGCACAUUGGUGAGAAUGGAAGCAUUCACUGCACUUGGUAAAAUUCAACGAGUUUCUGAGGGUGUUCUGCUACAAUCGCUAGAAAAGAAGGUCAUGAAAACUGACAGGAUGGGUGUUUCUAUCAUCAACGGACAAAAAUUACCUCCUAAACUAAAAAUUCCCUGUGCUGCUGGGAUUUUUUCCCAUGGAGUUGAAGAUGAAUUUACGAGGUGAGAAGAACUGCCUGCAAAUCAUUAGGAGCGCUGGCAAAGUUUUCUACUCAGUACACAGAGAAGGCCUUGGACUUGUUGAUGGACAUGAUGAAUGAUGAUACAGAAGCAAUAUGGCUGCAGGCUCUAGAAGCACUAUUUCGUAUGGCAACAUAUGGAUGUUUGAGUGUGCAGGAGAAGCACAUGCAUAUGUUACCGGGAAAGCUCUAGCUGAACCACAGUAGGAAAGUAUCUUUUUUCAAUUGAAUGGAGAGCUGGAUGUUGACCCAGAUGAUUUUAGCUUGGAGAAAUAUUUAGCUGCAAAAACUCUUGUUUCUUCAAGGUCCUUCCAAAUAGAUAACUAUCAUGGAUCUGGAAUGGUUCCAUUGGCUGACCUAUGUGUUAGAAGACGACCGUAUCCUGUGUGACUGGCAAGAUUUACCAUUUAAAAACUAUGCCCCCCUGGAAAAUGAUGUUAAUGUCCACCCAGUAACUUUUUGUUUUGUUUCCUGUCAUCUCAAGAUCAAAGAUCCUAAGAAACAGUUCCUGGUUUAUGGGUCUAGCAGAGCCAGAAGUUGUUGUAACUAUCCAGUAUCGUACAACUGACCUGUUACCUAGGGGGAAACACUGCAUGAGUGUUGUUGGUAUCCUUGUCUGGAGAAGGAGAGAGUGAUUCUCCUGGAGGUGGAGGAGGAUGAAGUGGUGAUCGACUUCAAGCCAACUCCAAGUGCCAUGUCGACCUCUGCCUCCGCUCCUUGCACACAUCCCUCCCAGUCGUCUUCAAGGUCCAGACCUCCUCCCCGCUCAAGUUCCUCGUCAGCACGUUGCGCGGUGCUGUGUCGCCGCUUUCCUCGGUGUCCAUACGCGUGUGCGAGGCAUCCCGCUUCAUCUCUAAUCACCCCUUUAUGUGCACAUCGUCCAUAUGUGACCCCCUUCCCUUUCUCCAUAUAAUUUCAACAAAUUUUACUCUUUUGGGCUCCGUGUAAUUUCAUUGGUAAAAUCUCUACUACUUAUUAAUGCUGCAAAGUUAACAUGUCAUUCCGUGUUAUAUAUAUA
Zea mays is the source of this 6327-nucleotide RNA transcript. RefSeq lists it as uncharacterized. The transcript has 12 exons. The record is from RefSeq and is a predicted model, not a curated record. NCBI's taxonomy places the organism in Eukaryota, Viridiplantae, Streptophyta, Magnoliopsida, Poales, Poaceae.